CGUUGCGUCAGGUUUGUAACGUAUUAAAACCUAUUGGUGGCAUCGGUUCUUUAUUACUUUCAUUAGUGUAUUUUUCGCAUUAUUCAUUACUAUAGUUUUUACCAUCAUUUAAAUUCGUAACAUAUGUUCCUUUGAUAGAGGUGACGCGCAACUAAACUCAAGUACUUUAAAACAAGAUUUCGCAUGCGUUUCUGUAGUAUUAUUUAAGUAUAUUUAGUUGUGAACUUUCGAAUUCUUGCAAAUAUUUUCAACUGUUUGUAACGCGGGAUUAUAGUGUAUUAGUGUAUAUCUCAUAUUCUAGUAACGAACAUUCAUAGUAUAAUUCUUGCAAAUGCUUACAUUGCAUUCAUGGUACUCGUAAAAACAUUUGUUCGAUAUCGAGGAAUAUCUUAUAAUUUUAAAUUAAUAUUUUUCAUACGUAAAAGAAAAGUAGCAGUAUUUUCUAAAUAAACGUUCGAUAGAGAAAAGAAGAAAAACAUCGAAACAAUAUUUCGCUUCUUUUCUACUCCCCAUUCCACCCCACCCCACCCAUAAACAACUUUAUUUUUAGGGAAUAUUUGUGACCGCGUGCAAUGCGGUUUGUAGAGUCAGUGUUUGCUCCGCAAAAGUAUUUUUCAAUAUUUUCAAAUCACGGUCGUUUUGAUUAAAUUCAAUUAAAUAAUCACACGCGAAAGUAGUAAAAUUUUAUCAAACAAUUUUCUACGCGACAUUAGAGCUCUUGUUCGCCGGUUAUAAUUUUUGCGGUCGUGGUAAUGUGGUCUUAUUUUAUAUUCUUUUGAACAUUCUUUUUCGAUACUAGAGUCAGUGCAUCAAGAAAACAAAGCCUCUGCAGGAGCUCAAGAAUACAUAUCACAGCUUGAACUUCUUUGUCUUUUUGGGAAUGCUCCAACGGUGGCUCAAAAGCCAAGAAUAUUUUUCAUAACCUCCAUUUCCACCAUUGGAUUUUCGACAGUUCCUGCCUGAUGUUAGUCUUUGAAACGAUAUUUGCUGAGAUAAUGCAGUGUCGAUGGGAACGUUUUCCGCUUCUCCGCUUUUAAUGGUGAGUCGCAUGCGUUUUUGUUCCUCCGGUCACUCAAUCAUGUCGUAGGAUGAAAGGUCUGAAUCGGCACGGGUGACUGGUUGUAUUAUGUAGAAUUUUUUGCGAGCAUAGUGACCGCGGGUAUUUUUUACACCCGUGAGUAAUAACAUUUUUUUCAUAUCUUUAUUUAUUAGUUCAGGAUAGGUCUUCUUACACAUCGCGAUUAUAAUCAUUAAUUUUUUAAUAAUUAGUUUAAACAUAUAAAUUUGAGAAUAUAUUCGUGGUACUGACAAAUAUGUAUAAUAGUAUUCAGUAUAAAUAUUUGCAAAAGGCAAAUAUCUAGACGAAUAUACUUGUAUGACAUAAAUACACUUAAUCUUAAGCAAUGAAUUUUAGUAUAAAUAAGAGGUACCGAAGGAAAAAUCGGAUGCCCUCCGA
Molecule: long non-coding RNA, 1456 nt
Organism: Bombus huntii
Lineage: Eukaryota; Metazoa; Arthropoda; Insecta; Hymenoptera; Apidae
Exons: 3
Source: RefSeq, a predicted model, not a curated record